Molecule: long non-coding RNA, 2847 nt
Filed under: Eucalyptus grandis
Lineage: Eukaryota; Viridiplantae; Streptophyta; Magnoliopsida; Myrtales; Myrtaceae
Description: long non-coding RNA (EGRA_LNC005487)
Source: RNAcentral
GCAAUUUUGGACUUUAAAUUUGUUUAUUUAUGAGUUGAUAAGCUUGAAAUUGAUUGGGGGGACAAAGAGGAGUGUAUUGUGGACUUGUGGGGCCAAAACAUUAAAUGUAUUGGCUAAGAUUUCUGAUUUUUGUUCCCUCUUAGCUGGCUCCCCUCAUCCGCACGUUGGAAUCUUCUCGGGCAAGCUUGAUUUGCCGACCUCAGCUUCUGCAUCUCUCGGCCCCAAAAACCCCGCAGCUCCUCGCCAACGUUUUCAUCAUUUCAACGCCACGAAAACUCCUGUCCCGUGUCUCCACUUCACGGAACUUCAGUCCACCGCAUCUGCUUGAAGACGCCGAGGCAACACCGAAGCAGCUCCGUGCCACGUUUUCAGUCAACCUUGCUGCCUCUCGGACGACCGGUUGACCUACGCUCAGCCAGCAUGCGACAGCUGCUUCCUUCAAGUGUUGUCCAGCACUGAAGACCGAAGUCCUCUCAGCCUCCACGCGUCCGACUUGCUCCGUGGGUCAAACUCCAGCAACAAGCUUCGGUUUGUUGACCGAAGACCCCACGACACCAACAGAGAAGCCACGGGAACGGAGGCAGUCAGCCACGCCAUCCACCGAAGACUCCACCGAACGCCAUCUUCUCUCCAUCCGCGGCCAGCUGUCCGCGAUUCUGCUUCCCCGGUCAACCGUCGAAGUCCACAGCAAGCACCGAAGCCAUUUUGUUGACUGAAGCUACUCACCGCUUCGUGCGUCCAGCGAAGCCACUGUCCACCGAGCCUCCAGUCCACGUAGCCUUCGGCUGCUCCCUCCGAUUCAACCAAGUCUUCGUCUGCGAGAUCCACCGAGCAUCCUCACGCCGCCAGCACAUCGGUCAAAUCCAACAACUCGCCCCACUGAUUGUUGACCAGAGCAGCUGCCAGCGUCCCGACCUUCAUCCAUUUUCAACGCCAUCAACGGCUUCGAUUGGUCAAGCUGCACGAAGCCUCGUGUGUCUUCCCUCAGCUCCAGCGACGUCCAUCGAAGCAGCAACCCAGCAUCUCCGUGGAUUGAACCCAGCAAUUCGGGCCCAGCAGUCCAGCGAAGACCGAAGCAGCCCACGCAAAUUUCUCUUCGUGGAUUGCAGCCCAACAGCGGCCUUUGUUGCUUCUCUCACCAGGCCAGAUCUGCAGCCCACGUGACCUUCAAUUCAACAAACCAGCCGAAGACAAGCCUUGCAGCAAGCCCAGCCCGUGAGUUUCAAUCCUUUGGGCCACCGAAUUCAGCACAAGACCAGCAAGCCCAGUUCAGCUAGCGCACUUGGUUCAGUCCAAUUCAGCAGGCCCAACCCAACUUGGGUCCAGCCCAAAAGCAAGAACAAAUCUCAUUUGGGCUGAGAUUUGUUGGGCCAAGGUCGAGGCCCGGUCCAAGCCUGUCGGGGUCGUCGAAAGCCCGAUUUCGGCCGCCGUCGCGGUAAUUUGGUUCCCGCUUUUAAUCAAGUGAGUUUUGCUCACUAAUCCCUUAUUAGUCGGUGAAUUAUGCUUAGGGGUUGAUUAGAUUUAAUUAAGUGCAAUUAGGUUGAUAGAUUAGAUUAGAGUAAUUAAAUUAGAGACUUAUAGAUGCAUGUUAGCAAUUGGAUAGUGUAGAUAGCAAGGAAAUAGGUCAUGGUAUUUAUUGAGCAAGUCUCGGUAAUUUUCCGGGUUCAUAUUGGCUUCCAAUUAGGCUAUAACGGGCCUAAGUUGGAUUUAUUGCAUUUAUUUAAUAUUUUCCGUAAUUAUUUAAUUAUUUAUUUAUUUUCCGGAAAUUAGGCUGAGAUAGCCGACGACCGAAAUUUUGUAUUGAUUCCAAUGGUGCUUUCUGUUUAUUUAUUCGAGUAUCAUAUUGUGAAAUUUUAGUGAAAUUGGUGAAUAUGAGAAUUUAUCUCAAAAUUGGGAAAAUGUCGGUACUUGAAGGGAAAGUAACUGUGUGAGGUUGUGAGUUGGAUUAAAGAUUGCCAGGUGGGGCUGUGAUGCCACCGAGUUGAGAAAAUUGCCAGGUGGGGCCGUGAUGCCACCGAGUUGAGAAAAUUGCCAGGUGGGGCCGUGAUGCCACCAAGUCUAGAAAAUUUGCCGAGUGGGGCUGUGAUUCCACUAAAAAUAAACUAUGCCUAUAGGGUCGUGAUUCAGAGUCAAGAAUGAAGAGUCGAGAUGACCAUGUAAUGGUUUUGAUGACAUGUAAUCGACUGAGUCGAUUGAUCGUUAAGUCGAUCUGAUUGGUUGGAUGCUAUGAUUGUUAGUAUUUAUUAUUUGAACUGACUUGCAGGAAGGAAACUGAGGCCAAGGUAAGUCCUCUAACCCAUGAUGUGCUUAGGCAGCCCUCGGGGCGUAUUUUCUUACUAAUCGGGUCUUAGGAGGUAGAACUCGCUAAGACGUGGUCUCAUUGGUUAUUGAAUAACCAUUUCAGGACCCUGAGAAAGAGCCGAGGAGGAGGAACCUGAGGAAGAGAAAGAUUUUUGAAGAAGAAGAUGAUGAUCCAGAGAGGGAUCUUGAGUACAACCCGGAUGUGGAUUGAGAUCCCAUCCCUUUUGUGAACCCUGUCUUAGUGUAAAUAGGUGUGAGACUUGGUUGCUGUAAAUAGUAUUGUAAAGAUACUAUGAGUUGCACUAUUAAUAAAAGUGUAGUUGAGAAUUUCAAUACGAAAAAUAUGGCCUGCUUUUCUAUCCCAUUGUUUUAUUGUCUGGGAAUUCAUAACUGCUUCCGCAUGCGUAAUAAACAGAAAGGGUCGGCGAUACUUAGUCCUGGGAUAUUGCACUUUAAAAUCGACCAGGUAGAAGGAUGGGCGCGUCCCCGAGGAUCGGGGCGUGACAACGUUGGGUUAUUAUGUAUUUAUUGGAGAUAAUUUAGUUG